RNAcentral lists this ribosomal RNA (301 nucleotides) under uncultured bacterium. RNAcentral describes it as "partial 16S ribosomal RNA". It matches the Rfam family "Bacterial small subunit ribosomal RNA", at positions 509 to 807 of the family's 1533-position model. The record is from RNAcentral.
CAGCCGCCACGGUAAUACGAAGGGUGCAAGCGUUAAUCGGAAUUACUGGGCGUAAAGCGUGCGUAGGCGGUGAGUUAAGUCUGCUGUGAAAUCCCCGGGCUCAACCUGGGAAUGGCAGUGGAUACUGGCUCGCUAGAGUGUGUCAGAGGAUGGUGGAAUUCCCGGUAUAGCGGUGAAAUACGUAGAUAUUGGGAAGAACACCGGUGGCGAAGGCGGCAACCUGGCUCAUUACUGACGCUGAGGCGCGAAAGCGUGGGGAGCAAACAGGAUUAGAUACCCCCGUAGUCCCUGUCUCUUAUAC